GCGGGACACGUGAAAUCCUGUCUGAAGAUGGGGGGACCAUCCUCCAAGGCUAAAUACUCGUGAUCGACCGAUAGUGAACCAGUACCGUGAGGGAAAGGCGAAAAGAACCCCGGGAGGGGAGUGAAAUAGAUCCUGAAACCGCAUGCAUACAAACAGUCGGAGCCUGGAAACGGGUGACGGCGUACCUUUUGUAUAAUGGGUCAGCGACUUACAUUCAGUGGCAAGCUUAACCGAUUAGGGAAGGCGUAGCGAAAGCGAGUCCGAAUAGGGCGUUCAGUCGCUGGGUGUAGACCCGAAACCAAGUGAUCUAUCCAUGGCCAGGUUGAAGGUGCGGUAACACGUACUGGAGGACCGAACCCACUAACGUUGAAAAGUUAGGGGAUGAGCUGUGGAUAGGGGUGAAAGGCUAAACAAACUUGGAAAUAGCUGGUUCUCUCCGAAAACUAUUUAGGUAGUGCCUCGUGUCUCACCUUCGGGGGUAGAGCACUGUCAUGGUUGGGGGGUCUAUUGCUGAUUACCCCGCCAUAGCAAACUCCGAAUACCGAAGAGUGCAAUCACGGGAGACAGACAUCGGGUGCUAACGUCCGGUGUCAAGAGGGAAACAACCCAGACCGCCAGCUAAGGUCCCUAAGAUUGGCUAAGUGGGAAACGAAGUGGGAAGGCUAAAACAGUCAGGAGGUUGGCUUAGAAGCAGCCACCCUUUAAAGAAAGCGUAAUAGCUCACUGAUCGAGUCGUCCUGCGCGGAAGAUGUAACGGGGCUAAGCCAGUCACCGAAGCUGCGGAUGCACGUAAGUGCAUGGUAGGAGAGCGUUCUGUAAGCCUGUGAAGGUGUCUUGUAAAGGAUGCUGGAGGUAUCAGAAGUGCGAAUGCUGACAUGAGUAGCGAUAAAGGGGGUGAAAGGCCCCCUCGCCGUAAGCCCAAGGUUUCCUACGCAACGUUCAUCGGCGUAGGGUGAGUCGGCCCCUAAGGCGAGGCAGAGAUGCGUAGCUGAUGGGAAGCAGGUUAAUAUUCCUGCACCGUCGUAUGAUGCGAUGGGGGGACGGAUCGCGGAAGGUUGUCCGGGUGUUGGAAGUCCCGGUCCCUACAUUGGAGAUGGCACUUAGGCAAAUCCGGGUGCGUGAUUCAAGGGUGUGGGGCGAGCGACGUUAGGUCGCGAAGCAAUUGGAAGUGGUUCCAAGAAAAGCCUCUAAGCUUCAGUCAUACGAGACCGUACCGCAAACCGACACAGGUGGGCGAGAUGAGUAUUCUAAGGCGCUUGAGAGAACUCGGGAGAAGGAACUCGGCAAAUUGGUACCGUAACUUCGGGAUAAGGUACGCCCUUGUAGUUUGACUGGCUCGCGCCAGAAGGAUGAAGGGGUUGCAAUAAAAUGGUGGCUGCGACUGUUUAAUAAAAACACAGCACUCUGCAAACACGAAAGUGGACGUAUAGGGUGUGACGCCUGCCCGGUGCCGGAAGAUUAAAUGAUGGGGUGCAAGCUCUUGAUUGAAGUCCCGGUAAACGGCGGCCGUAACUAUAACGGUCCUAAGGUAGCGAAAUUCCUUGUCGGGUAAGUUCCGACCUGCACGAAUGGCGUAACGAUGGCCACACUGUCUCCUCCCGAGACUCAGCGAAGUUGAAGUGUUUGUGAUGAUGCAAUCUCCCCGCGGCUAGACGGAAAGACCCCAUGAACCUUUACUGUAGCUUUGCAUUGGACUUUGAACCGAUCUGUGUAGGAUAGGUGGGAGGCUUUGAAACCGGGACGCUAGUUUCGGUGGAGCCGACCUUGAAAUACCACCCUGGUUUGUUUGAGGUUCUAACCUUGGCCCGUGAAUCCGGGUCGGGGACAGUGCAUGGUAGGCAGUUUGACUGGGGCGGUCUCCUCCCAAAGUGUAACGGAGGAGUUCGAAGGUACGCUUGGUACGGUCGGACAUCGUACCUAAAGUGCAAUGGCAAAAGCGUGCUUAACUGCGAGACCGACAAGUCGAGCAGGUGCGAAAGCAGGACAUAGUGAUCCGGUGGUUCUGUAUGGAAGGGCCAUCGCUCAACGGAUAAAAGGUACUCUGGGGAUAACAGGCUGAUACCGCCCAAGAGUUCAUAUCGACGGCGGUGUUUGGCACCUCGAUGUCGGCUCAUCUCAUCCUGGGGCUGUAGCCGGUCCCAAGGGUAUGGCUGUUCGCCAUUUAAAGAGGUACGUGAGCUGGGUUUAAAACGUCGUGAGACAGUUUGGUCCCUAUCUGCCGUGGGCGUUGGAAUCUUGACGGGGGCUGCUCCUAGUACGAGAGGACCGGAGUGGACGUACCGCUGGUGUACCUGUUGUCUCGCCAGAGGCAUCGCAGGGUAGCUAUGUACGGAAGAGAUAACCGCUGAAAGCAUCUAAGCGGGAAACUCGCCUGAAGAUGAGGAUUCCCUGGAGACUUGA
This 2400-nucleotide ribosomal RNA is filed under the name Ralstonia solanacearum. Its description in RNAcentral is "bacterial LSU rRNA". It matches the Rfam family "Bacterial large subunit ribosomal RNA", at positions 417 to 2823 of the family's 2925-position model. Lineage: Bacteria; Pseudomonadati; Pseudomonadota; Betaproteobacteria; Burkholderiales; Burkholderiaceae. The record is from RNAcentral.